GCCCGGGUGGCGAAAUUGGUAGACGCAAGGGACUUAAAAUCCCUCGGAGGCAACUCCAUGCCGGUUCGAUUCCGGCCCCGGGCACCA
Molecule: transfer RNA, 87 nt
Filed under: Gammaproteobacteria bacterium
Lineage: Bacteria; Pseudomonadati; Pseudomonadota; Gammaproteobacteria
Description: tRNA-Leu
Rfam family: tRNA
About the family: Transfer RNA (tRNA) molecules are approximately 80 nucleotides in length.
Source: RNAcentral